CAAGUCGGCACUCGUUGGUUGAACCCUUUCUGUGGACCGGUCUCGAAUGCGUCCUGCUUCUCGCUGGAGUCACCCAUGAUCCCAAUGAGGACAAGCAGCAAAGCAAAUGGCUAGAUGAAUGGAAUGAAAUACAGCUGCCAUCAAGGGUACGGACUGGCAGUUUGGGAGAGUUGGAGCACCCACAGGGUCAGGUUGAUUGAUUGCUUUGACACGCAAAGGUCAUCAUCGCCAGGGCACUGCAGCCUCCGACGCAGCGCCAAGGUCUCAGAAGCUGGCGCCAGUUGAAUUGCCUCCCUUUCCCUGUAAAUAUUGAGCAUUUUUUUGGUUCUUAGAGGCCUUUUUCAGGGACGCUGUUGAUGUCUGCUGUCGAGGGAGCCAAGUGAAGGCGUGAGAGUCUUAAAGUCAGAUGAAUGACAAAGGAGGGGAUGUAGAUUUGGCUGGCGUUGUUCUCUGCUUUCAAACUAUUGCAGCUUUUGUAUCCCUCCUAUUAUUACAAUAAGUUGCUGACCCCGACACAACAGUGUACAGGUUAGCAGGUUAGUUUACAUUUGGCUCGGGCUCAUUUUUUCCCAACAGUUCAAAUGUAGGCCAACAUGACAUUUUCAUCACAAGGCUUUUAUAAUCAACAGCACAAUAUAUCGAAUCCAUCUCAUGGUUGUAUUAUGUCCUAAAUGACGAAAAAAAUCAUCUCUGA
Long non-coding RNA from Syngnathus acus (greater pipefish), 694 nucleotides. RefSeq lists it as uncharacterized. NCBI's taxonomy places the organism in Eukaryota, Metazoa, Chordata, Actinopteri, Syngnathiformes, Syngnathidae. The transcript has 2 exons. The record is from RefSeq and is a predicted model, not a curated record.